This 435-nucleotide ribosomal RNA is filed under the name uncultured bacterium. RNAcentral describes it as "partial 16S ribosomal RNA". It matches the Rfam family "Bacterial small subunit ribosomal RNA", at positions 29 to 507 of the family's 1533-position model. The record is from RNAcentral.
AGCGAACGCUGGCGGCAGGCUUAACACAUGCAAGUCGAGCGGGCGUAGCAAUACGUCAGCGGCAGACGGGUGAGUACCGCGUGGGAACGUACCUUUUGGUUCGGAACAACACAGGGAAACUUGUCCUAAUACCGGAUAAGCCCUUACGGGGAAAGAUUUAUCGCCGAAAGAUCGGCCCGCGUCUGAUUAGCUAGUUGGUGAGGGAACGGCGCACCAAGGCGACGAUCAGUAGCUGUUCUGAGAGGAUGAUCAGACACAUUGGGACUGAGACACCGUACAAAAUCCUACGGGAGGCAGCAGUGGGGAAUAGUGGACCAUGGGGGCAACGCUGAUCCAGUCAUGCCGGGUGAGUGAUGAAGGCCCGAGGGUUGUAAAGCGCUUUUGUGCGGGAAGAUAAUGACGGUACCGAAAGAAUAAGCCACGGCUAACUUCGUG